CUUGAAGGCACAAAAAAACAGCAGCAAAACACAUUUGAAACUGUGCAAAAGAAGUUGUAGCAUAAGCUUUCAUGGACUUGAGUCUAUUUCCUCAGAUGUAGAGUGAAGUGUUACAACUCCGUGCUUCUGAAGAAGUAGGCCAAGUCUACGAAAGCCUCUGCUACAACAUCUUUUGCACAGUUAGUCUCAAAGAUGCUACAAGAUCCCUUUUCUGUAACCAAGGAUCUUGUUUCUGAGUGAAGUGCCACCCUCCAUGCCCUUCAGCUUUAAUAAGGAGCACUGUUAUCUGGGAGUCGGGGUAGCAUGGAGUAGUUGUUAAGCAUGUAAGGGCCUUGAGAAGCCAGGCUUUGCAAAAAGGAUGCAGGUGUUUGAUAUAGAGUCAUAAUAUCCACUAAGCUACAGAGAGCAUUCGUUCUGUUCUUUGUUAAGUCUGGCUGCAGUUGGAGUGCUCUGUCCAGUUGUGGAGCUAGACUUCUUAUGAAAGAUGUUUAAACAUUAGCAGGUAUCCCAAGAAGAGAAAGAGAUGGUGAGGAGUAUAGGAUCCAAGCCUCGCAAGGAAUAGUUGAAAAAAUGUACUUUUUUAAAUGGGAAAGACAGUAUUAGAAAGAGACGAGAGUAGUAUUCAAAUAUCUGAAAAGCUUCCAUGCAAAAUAUAAAGUAUGGGCAUGUGUUUUCUGUUGAUUUAGGAAGCAGUAUGAGAAGCAGUACAUGGAAUUUGUGGAAAAGUGGGUUUUGGCAAAACAUUAGAAGUUUCCCAACAGAGUUGUUUCACGGAGGAGCAGACUGCCUCAGGAGGGGUACAUGCUCCUUUUCUGGAGGUAUUUAAACACAGGCUGGGUGGCCACUUGUUAAGGGUUCUCUGGCUGUAUCCUGUUUUCCAAAAUGAGUGUGUGGUCAACAGAGAUCCCGCUUAUGAUCUGUGGUCCCAGGUCAAAUCAAAUGCCCCUCUAUCAGAAGUGUACUUGAUUUAAAUUUAGUCCAGAAUAGUAGGUGGUGGAAACGCUUCCCUAUAAUAAUGGAAAAACAGCAUUUUUUCUCCUGUAACUUUUAAUAGAAUGUGUAUGCUUUGACAUAAUGUACAUUGUUUUAUAUUUAGAAGGCAAACAUUCUAUCAAGUAUGACAAUGUUUAUAAUGCAACUUGAUUUAUCUCAUUUUGGAGUAAUCCCCGGCGUGAAGGCUGUUUGCAUAUGAACAUGUCAACUCUACCUUCUGGGAGCACCUCUUUUUUCUUCAGGUGGUGAUGGUACAAAGGAGAACAGAGCACGAAAUGCCUGUUAACUAUACCAGGUAAAUGCUGAUCAGAGAACAAUCUUCAGGUACUGCAUUGAGAAGACUAUCAUUAUAUUUCAUUUGUGAUAUUUUUUUCCUGAUGUAAUUCUGGAUUAACCUUAGCAAUUUAAUUAAAACCUAAUUUUCAGACAUUA
Molecule: long non-coding RNA, 1425 nt
Organism: Sceloporus undulatus (fence lizard)
Lineage: Eukaryota; Metazoa; Chordata; Lepidosauria; Squamata; Phrynosomatidae
Exons: 3
Source: RefSeq, a predicted model, not a curated record